GACGAACGCUGGCGGCGUGCUUAACACAUGCAAGUCGAACGGAAAGGCCCUGAGUUUGUGCGGUUCUCGAGUGGCGAACGGGGGAGUAAGACGUGAGUAACCUGCCCUUGUCUUUCGGGGAACUUCAGGUAAGUGGGGCUACUACAGGAUAGGAGAUCCUGCACCGGGGAGGGGGUUGGAAAGUUUCGGCGGGUGGGGAUGGACUAGCGGCUUAUGGGCUUGUUGGUGGGGGAGUGGCUGACCCAGGCUUGGACGGGUAGCCGGCCUGUGAGGGUGACCGGCCACACUGGGACUGAGAGACGGCCCAGCCUGCUACGGGAGGCAACAGGGGGGAAGCUUGCACAAUGCGCGGCAGCCUGAUGCAGCAGCCCCGCGUGCGGGAAGACGGCUUUCGGGUUGUAAACAGCUUUCGCCUGUGACGAAGCCUGAGUGACGGUAACGGGUAAAAAAGCACCGGCUAACUACGUG
Molecule: ribosomal RNA, 468 nt
Filed under: uncultured bacterium
Lineage: Bacteria
Description: partial 16S ribosomal RNA
Rfam family: Bacterial small subunit ribosomal RNA
Source: RNAcentral